ACUACUGUGAAUAAUAUAUAUAUGUAUAAAUAAAAAAAUCGGAUGAAAAUAUCUGAAGUUUAUUAUGACUUGUCAACAAAGGAGGGAGGACAUUUGUACGAGUGUGUGGAUAUGUGAAAGUUUACACAGGAUAGCAGAAAUAGGGAGAAGAAAAGUAAAAACAGCAGUUUAAAUUACCAAUCCCCUGUAGGAUUUUAAGCAGUUACCAGUCACUGCAAAGGGGAAGAGAAAAAUCAUCUCCCUUUCCUGAAGCCUCUCAGACUAAGCAGAAGGCAGAAUCCCACAAGGCAUGAUGGCAGCUGUGUUCCCCAGCACUGUGCACUGCAAUACCUAUAAGGGUUUGAUGCUCCCUCCGUGAGCAUUUCUGAUAUUCCCUCUCAGAAAACUAGCAGAAAACUAAUUUCAGCAGCCUUUCCUCACUAACUUCUCUCUUUGUUUUUCAGCUACAGAAUCCUCUUGUAAGUCUCCUUUCAUGAUGGAACUCAAUUACCUCCAGCAGUGUCUAACAGACCUACUUGAACAAAAAUGUGUCCAUCCACAUUGGGAUCACAAUAGUUUAAAGCUCCUAUUUCCUUGACCCCUAUUUUUCCAUUACUCAGAAUUCCACUAGGUUAUUAAUAAGUUUCUAAAAUGUUCACUGAGUCACAUAACAAUUAAAGAACAGAGAAAAAAGUUUCUCCAUGGCUCUAAAGACUGUCAGGGACCCUCUCUAUAUAGAAGGAGAAAAAAAUGAACAGGGAAAACAAAGAUACAGAUAAUAUUUCUGUUUACCAGCUGGGUCACCUAUUCAAGCAGUUAGUAAGUUGUAUAUUUGUUUCUUUGCUGUGCACUUAUCAAAGUCCAGUGAUAUAUAUUAAAACUUGAGUUCAAGUAUAGGAACUUUAAACUCAUUUUCUUAGCUUUUGCGUCUCCAUUAACCAGAAUUCCACCAGCUGAUUUUAAGUUUUCUGGAAAGUUCAGAUACGCCUGAUCAGAAAACCUUUUCAAGCAGUUACAUCACUAGAAAAUUUACCAAUUUCUACAUCACUAGAAAAAAAUGAAUAGGACAAUAAAUGAGGAGGGUGCAAUAAGAAAUCUUUCUGCUUAUUUUUCAGUGGAAUCAACUCCUCACACAAACAAGGGAACAGUUCCACCUGCCCUCACUGGUCCACCACCUUCAGAGCACAGUGGUUUGCCCUUGGCACCAAUAAUGAUUUCACAAAGAACCUCAACAAGACCUGAGAAAUCUAAGA
Molecule: long non-coding RNA, 1232 nt
Organism: Acinonyx jubatus (cheetah)
Lineage: Eukaryota; Metazoa; Chordata; Mammalia; Carnivora; Felidae
Exons: 6
Source: RefSeq, a predicted model, not a curated record